GACGAACGCUGGCGGCGUGCUUAACACAUGCAAGUCGAGCGAUGAAGUUCCUUCGGGAAUGGAUUAGCGGCGGACGGGUGAGUAACACGUGGGUAACCUGCCUCAUAGAGGGGAAUAGCCUUUCGAAAGGAAGGUUAAUACCGCAUAAGAUUGUAGUUUCGCAUGAAACAGCAAUUAAAGGAGUAAUCCGCUAUGAGAUGGACCCGCGUCGCAUUAGCUAGUUGGUGGGGUAACGGCUCACCAAGGCGACGAGGCGUAGCCGACCUGAGAGGGUGGGCGGCCACAUUGGGGGUGAGACACGGCCCAGGCUCCUACGGGGGGCAGCAGUGGGGAAUAUUGCACGAUGGGGGAAACCCGGAUGCAGCAACGCGGCGUGAGUGAUGACGGUCUUCGGAUUGGAAAGCUCUGUCUUCAGGGACGAUAAUGACGGUACCUGAGGAGGAAGCCACGGCUAACUACGUGCCAGCCGCCGCGGUAA
Molecule: ribosomal RNA, 478 nt
Filed under: uncultured bacterium
Lineage: Bacteria
Description: partial 16S ribosomal RNA
Rfam family: Bacterial small subunit ribosomal RNA
Source: RNAcentral